Molecule: ribosomal RNA, 429 nt
Filed under: Bacillota bacterium
Lineage: Bacteria; Bacillati; Bacillota
Description: Firmicutes bacterium partial 16S ribosomal RNA
Rfam family: Bacterial small subunit ribosomal RNA
Source: RNAcentral
UAGGGAAUCUUCGGCAAUGGACGGAAGUCUGACCGAGCAACGCCGCGUGAGUGAAGAAGGUUUUCGGAUCGUAAAGCUCUGUUGUUAGAGAAGAACGUUGGUAGGAGUGGAAAAUCUACCAAGUGACGGUAACUAACCAGAAAGGGACGGCUAACUACGUGCCAGCAGCCGCGGUAAUACGUAGGUCCCGAGCGUUGUCCGGAUUUAUUGGGCGUAAAGCGAGCGCAGGCGGUUCUUUAAGUCUGAAGUUAAAGGCAGUGGCUUAGCCAUUGUACGCUUUGGAAACUGGAGGACUUGAGUGCAGAAGGGGAGAGUGGAAUUCCAUGUGUAGCGGUGAAAUGCGUAGAUAUAUGGAGGAACACCGGUGGCGAAAGCGGCUCUCUGGUCUGUAACUGACGCUGAGGCUCGAAAGCGUGGGGAGCAAACAGG